RNAcentral lists this ribosomal RNA (119 nucleotides) under Anolis carolinensis (green anole). The record is from RNAcentral. Lineage: Eukaryota; Metazoa; Chordata; Lepidosauria; Squamata; Anolidae.
GCCAAAGGCAUAAAUGUAAUGAAGGCAAUAGAUUCCAUCUGAUCUUUGAAGCUAAUCAAGAUUAGCCUUGAAUAGUACGUGAAUAGGAGACCACCAAGGAAUACCAGGGGCUUUAGCCU